This 868-nucleotide ribosomal RNA is filed under the name uncultured compost bacterium. RNAcentral describes it as "bacterial SSU rRNA". It matches the Rfam family "Bacterial small subunit ribosomal RNA", at positions 28 to 897 of the family's 1533-position model. The record is from RNAcentral.
GACGAACGCUGGCGGCGUGCUUCACACAUGCAAGUCGAACGGAAAGGCUCCUUCGGGAGUGCUCGAGUGGCGAACGGGUGAGUAACACGUGGGUAACCUGCCCCCAUCUCUGGGAUAACCGCUGGAAACGGUGGCUAAUACCGGAUAUUACUGCUGGUCGCAUGGCCUGGCGGUGGAAAGCUUUUGCGGUUGGGGAGGGGCUCGCGGCCUAUCAGCUUGUUGGUGGGGUGAUGGCCUACCAAGGCGGUGACGGGUAGCCGGCCUGAGAGGGCGGUCGGUCACAUUGGGACUGAGAUACGGCCCAGACUCCUACGGGAGGCAGCAGUGGGGAAUUUUGCACAAUGGGCGAAAGCCUGAUGCAGCGACGCCGCGUGAGGGAUGACGGCUUUCGGGUUGUAAACCUCUUUUAUCCAUGACGAAGGCAUGCUUUUUGGUGUGUUGACGGUAGUGGUUGAAUAAGCGCCGGCUAACUACGUGCCAGCAGCCGCGGUAAGACGUAGGGCGCGAGCGUUGUCCGGAUUUAUUGGGCGUAAAGGGCUCGUAGGCGGUUCGUCGCGUCUGCCGUGAAAAACUACAGCUUAACUGUGGUUUUGCGGUGGAUACGGGCGGGCUUGAGGCCAGUAGGGGAGAUCGGAAUUCUACGUGUAGCGGUGAAAUGCGCAGAUAUGUGGAGGAACACCGGUGGCGAAGCGGAUCUCUGGGCUGGUUCUGACGCUGAGGAGCGAAAGCAUGGGGAGCGAACAGGAUUAGAUACCCUGGUAGUCCAUGCUGUAAACGGUGGGCGCUAGGUGUGGGGUGGCAUUGGUUCACUCUGUGCCGUAGCUAACGCAUUAAGCGCCCCGCCUGGGGAGUACGGCCGCAAGGCUAA